RNAcentral lists this transfer RNA (62 nucleotides) under Botrylloides giganteus. Its description in RNAcentral is "transfer RNA-Pro". Lineage: Eukaryota; Metazoa; Chordata; Ascidiacea; Stolidobranchia; Styelidae. The record is from RNAcentral.
CAAAAGUUAGUUAAAUGAUAAUAUAGGUUUUGGGGAUUUAAGUUAAAUUAGUUUACUUUUGA